GAUGAAGAACGUAGCGAAAUGCGAUAAGUAAUGCGAAUUGCAGAAUUCAGUGAAUCAUCGAAUCUUUGAACGCACAUUGCGCCCGCCAGUACUCUGGCGGGCAUGCCUGUCUGAGCCUCAUUUCAACCCUCGCGCCCGGCUUCUGUCGGGGGCGGUGUUGGGGAUCGGCCUCCCGUCUUCCGGGCGGCCGGCCCCUAAAUGGAGUGGCGACCGCGCCGUAGCCUCCUCUGCGUAGUAGUGAAACACUCGCGGGCGGAGAGCGGUGCGGCCCGCCGUAAAACCCCCAACUCUUCUAAGGUUGACCUCAGAUCAGGUAGGAAUACCCGCUGAACUUAAGCAUAUCAAUAAGCGGAGGA
Molecule: unclassified non-coding RNA, 356 nt
Filed under: soil metagenome
Description: partial contains 5.8S ribosomal RNA, internal transcribed spacer 2, and large subunit ribosomal RNA
Rfam family: 5.8S ribosomal RNA (bases 1-120)
Source: RNAcentral